CAGCAGCCACGGUAAUACGUAGGGUGCAAGCGUUAAUCGGAAUUACUGGGCGUAAAGCGUGCGCAGGCGGUUUUGUAAGUCUGUCGUGAAAUCCCCGGGCUCAACCUGGGAAUGGCGAUGGAGACUGCAAGGCUAGAAUCUGGCAGAGGGGGGUAGAAUUCCACGUGUAGCAGUGAAAUGCGUAGAUAUGUGGAGGAACACCGAUGGCGAAGGCAGCCCCCUGGGCUAAGAUUGACGCUCAUGCACGAAAGCGUGGGGAGCAAACAGGAUUAGAGACCCCUGUAGUCCCUGUCUCUUAUAC
This 301-nucleotide ribosomal RNA is filed under the name uncultured bacterium. RNAcentral's name for it is "partial 16S ribosomal RNA". It matches the Rfam family "Bacterial small subunit ribosomal RNA", at positions 509 to 807 of the family's 1533-position model. The record is from RNAcentral.